UACGAAGGGGGCUAGCGUUGUUCGGAAUUACUGGGCGUAAAGCGCACGUAGGCGGCUUUGCAAGUUAGAGGUGAAAGCCCAGGGCUUAACCCUGGAAUUGCCUUUAAAACUGCAUCGCUAGAAUUGUGGAGAGGUAAGUGGAAUUCCGAGUGUAGAGGUGAAAUUCGUAGAUAUUCGGAAGAACACCAGUGGCGAAGGCGACUUACUGGACACAUAUUGACGCUGAGGUGCGAAAGCGUGGGGAGCAAACAGG
Molecule: ribosomal RNA, 253 nt
Filed under: uncultured bacterium
Lineage: Bacteria
Description: partial 16S ribosomal RNA
Rfam family: Bacterial small subunit ribosomal RNA
Source: RNAcentral